RNAcentral lists this ribosomal RNA (454 nucleotides) under uncultured Bacteroides sp. RNAcentral describes it as "partial 16S ribosomal RNA". It matches the Rfam family "Bacterial small subunit ribosomal RNA", at positions 341 to 792 of the family's 1533-position model. Lineage: Bacteria; Pseudomonadati; Bacteroidota; Bacteroidia; Bacteroidales; Bacteroidaceae. The record is from RNAcentral.
ACGGAAGGCAGCAGUGAGGAAUAUUGGUCAAUGGAGGCAACUCUGAACCAGCCAUCUCGCGUGAAGGAAUACGGCCCUACGGGUCUUAAACUUCUUUUAUAGGGGGAUAAAGUGAGCCACGUGUGGCUCUUUGUAGGUACCCUAUGAAUAAGCAUCGGCUAACUCCGUGCCAGCAGCCGCGGUAACACGGAAGGUCCGGGCGUUAUCCGGAUUUAUUGGGUUUAAAGGGAGCGCAGGCGGCCUUUUAAGCGUGUGGUGAAAUGUAGGCGCUCAACGUCUGCACUGCCACGCGAACUGGAGGGCUUGGGUGCGGUGAACGCUGGCGGAAUUCGUGGUGUAGCGGUGAAAUGCUUAGAUAUCACGAAGAACUCCGAUUGCGAAGGCAGCUGGCGGUACCGUUACCGACGCUCAUGCUCGAAAGUGUGGGUAUCGAACAGGAUUAGAUACCCUGGUA